This 883-nucleotide small RNA is filed under the name Pan troglodytes (chimpanzee). Its description in RNAcentral is "transcribed unitary pseudogene". Lineage: Eukaryota; Metazoa; Chordata; Mammalia; Primates; Hominidae. The record is from RNAcentral.
AUGGACAAUGAGCAGCGUGUCUUCAGAAGGAAGUUAGUGGAUAUUCAGGGGAUUCCCCUUUUCUAGAGCAUUGCUGAAGAGUGGUUUCAAGUUGAAUUGUUUGAGGCCUGACCAGAUGAUACUCUGAUCUCUACCUAUCCCAAAUCUGGUAGGAUGACCUGGAUCAGUGAAAUAUUGGAUUUGAUCUUUAACAAUGGGGAUGCAGAGAAAUGUAAACGGGAUGCAAUAUACAAGCGAGUGACUUUCAUGGAACUUAUAAUUCCUGGACUCACAAAUUGUGUUGAGCAGUUGAAAAACAUGCAGUCUCCUCGAUUAGUGAAAACACACCUGCCUGUUCAACUUCUCCCUUCUUCAUUUUGGAAGAAUAACUAUGAUCUACGUGGCACGGAAUGCCAAAGAUGUGGCUGUGUCUUAUUAUUAUUUCCACCAGAUGGCAAAAAUGCACCCAGAUCCUGGAACUUGGGAGGAGUUCCUGGAUAAAUUCAUGACUGGAAAGUUGUGUUUUGGUUCCUGGUAUGACCAUGUGAAGGGCUGGUGGGAAAAGAAGAAAGAUUAUCGUAUCCUUUACCUAUUUUAUGAAGACAUGAAAGAGAAUCCUAAGUGUGAAAUUCAGAAGGUGUUAAAGUUUCUGGAGAAAGACAAGCCAGAAACAAUUGUGGAUAAAAUCCUCCAUCACAGCUCUUUUGAUGUGAUGAAGCAGAACUCUUGUACAAAUUAUACUACUAUGGGAAAGAAUGAGAUGGACCAUUAUGUGUUUCCCUUCGUAAGGAAGGGUGUUUCAGGAGACUGGAAGAAUCAAUUCACUGUAGCCCAGUAUGAGAAAUUUGAAGAUUAUGAAAAAAAAAUGAAAGAGUCCACACUGCAGUUUCGGUCAGAAAUCUAA